RNAcentral lists this ribosomal RNA (774 nucleotides) under Staphylococcus pseudintermedius. RNAcentral's name for it is "partial 23S ribosomal RNA". It matches the Rfam family "Bacterial large subunit ribosomal RNA", at positions 752 to 1528 of the family's 2925-position model. The record is from RNAcentral. Lineage: Bacteria; Bacillati; Bacillota; Bacilli; Caryophanales; Staphylococcaceae.
UCAGGUAACACUGAAUGGAGGACCGAACCGACUUACGUUGAAAAGUGAGCGGAUGAACUGAGGGUAGCGGAGAAAUUCCAAUCGAACUUGGAGAUAGCUGGUUCUCUCCGAAAUAGCUUUAGGGCUAGCCUCAAGUGAUGAUUAUUGGAGGUAGAGCACUGUUUGGACGAGGGGCCCCUCUCGGGUUACCGAAUUCAGACAAACUCCGAAUGCCAAAUAAUUUAACUUGGGAGUCAGAAUGUGGGUGAUAAGGUCCAUAUUCGAAAGGGAAACAGCCCAGACCACCAGCUAAGGUCCCAAAAUAUAUGUUAAGUGGAAAAGGAUGUGGCGUUGCCCAGACAACUAGGAUGUUGGCUUAGAAGCAGCCAUCAUUUAAAGAGUGCGUAAUAGCUCACUAGUCGAGUGACACUGCGCCGAAAAUGUACCGGGGCUAAACAUAUUACCGAAGCUGUGGAUUGUCCUUUGGACAAUGGUAGGAGAGCGUUCUAAGGGCGUUGAAGCAUGAUCGCAAGGACAUGUGGAGCGCUUAGAAGUGAGAAUGCCGGUGUGAGUAGCGAAAGACGGGUGAGAAUCCCGUCCACCGAUUGACUAAGGUUUCCAGAGGAAGGCUCGUCCGCUCUGGGUUAGUCGGGUCCUAAGCUGAGGCCGACAGGCGUAGGCGAUGGAUAACAGGUUGAUAUUCCUGUACCACCAUUAUUCGUUUUAAGCGAUGGGGGGACGCAGUAGGAUAGGCGAAGCGUGCUGUUGGAGUGCACGUCCAAGCAGUGAGAUUGA